GCGCACCAGUCGAGAAAACUUCACACUGUGCGAAAGCACGAUGAGGGAAUCCCAAGUGCUUGCACGUAAGUGUAAGCUGUUUCUCUGUCUAAAACGCAGAGAGAGUAAGGGCUGGGGUAAGACGGGUGCCAGCCGCCGCGGUAAUACCUGCAGCUCAAGUGGUGACCGUUAUUAUUGGGCCUAAAACGUCCGUAGCCGGUUUAAUAAAUGCCUGGGUAAAUUGUGUAGCUUAACUAUACGAAUUCCGGGUAGACUGUUAAACUUGAGACCGGGAGAAGUUAGAGGUACUCCUGGGGUAGAGGUGAAAUUACUGUAAUCCUAGGGGGACCGACCAGUGGCGAAGGCGUCUAACUAGAACGGGUCUGACGGUGAGGGACGAAGCCCUGGGGCGCAAACGGGGAUUAGAUACCCGUGUAGU
RNAcentral lists this ribosomal RNA (418 nucleotides) under uncultured microorganism. RNAcentral describes it as "bacterial SSU rRNA". It matches the Rfam family "Archaeal small subunit ribosomal RNA", at positions 330 to 745 of the family's 1478-position model. The record is from RNAcentral.